GACGAACGCUGGCGGCGUGCUUAACACAUGCAAGUCGAACGGAAAGGCCCUGCUUUUGUGGGGUGCUCGAGUGGCGAACGGGUGAGUAACACGUGAGUAACCUGCCCUUGACUUUGGGAUAACUUCAGGAAACUGGGGCUAAUACCGGAUAGGAGCUCCUGCUGCAUGGUGGGGGUUGGAAAGUUUCGGCGGUUGGGGAUGGACUCGCGGCUUAUCAGCUUGUUGGUGGGGUAGUGGCUUACCAAGGCUUUGACGGGUAGCCGGCCUGAGAGGGUGACCGGCCACAUUGGGACUGAGAUACGGCCCAGAAUCCUACGGGAGGCAGCAGUGGGGAAUAUUGCACAAUGGGCGGAAGCCUGAUGCAGCAACGCCGCGUGCGGGAUGACGGCUUUCGGGUUGUAAACCGCUUUCGCCUGUGACGAAGCGUGAGUGACGGUAAUGGGUAAAGAAGCACCGGCUAACUACGUG
RNAcentral lists this ribosomal RNA (468 nucleotides) under uncultured bacterium. RNAcentral's name for it is "partial 16S ribosomal RNA". It matches the Rfam family "Bacterial small subunit ribosomal RNA", at positions 28 to 507 of the family's 1533-position model. The record is from RNAcentral.